Molecule: ribosomal RNA, 408 nt
Filed under: uncultured microorganism
Description: bacterial SSU rRNA
Rfam family: Archaeal small subunit ribosomal RNA
Source: RNAcentral
GCGCACCAGGCGCGAAAACUUUACAAUGUGCGAAAGCACGAUAAGGGAACUCUGAGUGCCUCCUAAGGAGGCUGUUCUGAUGUCUAAAAAGCAACAGAAGUAAGGGCUGGGUAAGACCGGUGCCAGCCGCCGCGGUAACACCGGCAGCCCAAGUGGUAGCCACGUUUAUUGGGUCUAAAGCGUUCGUAGCCGGCCAGGUAAGUUCCUUGGUAAAUUUAGCCGCUUAACGGUUAAGCUUUCGGGGAAUACUGCUUGGCUUGGGACUGGGAGAGGUCAGAGGUACUCCGGGGGUAGGGGUGAAAUCUAUUAAUCCCUGGGGGACCACCGGUAGCGAAGGCGUCUGACCAGACCAGGUCCGACGGUGAGGGACGAAGGCUAGGGGCGCGAACCGGAUUAGAUACCCCCGUA